GCUCGAGUGGUGGAAUGGUAGACACGCGGGACUUAAAAUCCCGUGACCAUCGCGGUCGUGCGGGUUCGAUUCCCGCCUCGAGUA
RNAcentral lists this transfer RNA (84 nucleotides) under Odoribacteraceae bacterium. RNAcentral's name for it is "tRNA-Leu". It matches the Rfam family "tRNA". Rfam says of the family: Transfer RNA (tRNA) molecules are approximately 80 nucleotides in length. Their secondary structure includes four short double-helical elements and three loops (D, anti-codon, and T loops). Further hydrogen bonds mediate the characteristic L-shaped molecular structure. tRNAs have two regions of fundamental functional importance: the anti-codon, which is responsible for specific mRNA codon recognition, and the 3' end, to which the tRNAs corresponding amino acid is attached (by aminoacyl-tRNA synthetases). tRNAs cope with the degeneracy of the genetic code in two manners: having more than one tRNA (with a specific anti-codon) for a particular amino acid; and 'wobble' base-pairing, i.e. permitting non-standard base-pairing at the 3rd anti-codon position. Lineage: Bacteria; Pseudomonadati; Bacteroidota; Bacteroidia; Bacteroidales; Odoribacteraceae. The record is from RNAcentral.